Molecule: ribosomal RNA, 320 nt
Filed under: uncultured eukaryote
Lineage: Eukaryota
Description: partial 18S ribosomal RNA
Rfam family: Eukaryotic small subunit ribosomal RNA
Source: RNAcentral
CCCUUAGAUGUUCUGGGCGGCCCGCGCACUACAUUGGCACUCUCAAUAAGUUCCUAGAUCUAAAACUUUGGGGUAUUCUAUUAAGUGGUGUCGUGACUGGGAUUAACCCUUGCAAUUAUUGGUUACGAACGAGGAAUUCCUAGUAAACGCGAGUCAUCAGCUCGCAUUGAUUACGUCCCUGCCCUUUGUACACACCGCCCGUCGCACCUACCGAUUGAAUGUUUCGGUGAAGAUUCCGGAUAGGACUUUUUUGAUUUAUUUCAAUUUUGUCUUAAAAGCUAUCUAAACCUCAACAUUUAGAGGAAGGUGAAGUCGUAACA